RNAcentral lists this long non-coding RNA (1085 nucleotides) under Homo sapiens (human). Lineage: Eukaryota; Metazoa; Chordata; Mammalia; Primates; Hominidae. The record is from RNAcentral.
CGCUCCAAAGAUGGCGGCAAGCCUUUUGUUCUCUUACCUGGGGUUCUUGGCUUCAUGGAUUCCAAGGAAUGGAACUUUGGGCCAUGCGGAGCUUGACAUAGGUGGUGCAUGAAGUGUCUCAAGAGGAAGCAGAGAAUAAGAUCUCAGUUACACAGUCUGGGCAAGAAUACAAGAAAAUCACCCAAAAAACUGCGACCAUCAGAGGAGCCUCCAUGUUAGAGUCUCUGGGCCUCUGUCUCUUCAGAAUCCACCCUGGAAACAGUGUGCAUCAAAACACUUUGGAGUUCUUAGAGGCACUUGGAAUUAUCUGCUGGCUUCCCACCUUUAAAGAGACUGGGCUAGUUAAAUAUCCCCCUCUGUUCAUUUUUUUAAAUUUGUGAGUUUAUUUUUUGAUUAUUACUCUAAUUGGGGGCUAACAUUAACAUUUACUGGGCAAGUGUCAGGGAGGUCAACAUUAUGCAUGUUUGAGAUAGUCCUUUGCCAUGAAGAAUUGUUCUGUGUCCCAUGUGACUUUUGUAUGUCCAACUGGGCAGUUGUGAAUUCAGAAAACCUCGUGUAUAAUUAUUCAAACUCAAAGCCUAACUCCAUUUUACAUGCAAACACAAUGUAUUUAUUACACAGUUUUAAUACACCCUAAAUUUUCUAGGAAUAAAACUUUGUACUUUGUUCAGAACUUUUCUUUUUUUAAAGUAAGUUGUUCAUUGUUUUGGAAAUUUGCAUAACUGUUAGACAAUUGUUCAAGGGCUUUAAUUGUCUAAACAGCACAUAAAUCUUGGUUUGUAUUUGUAGUUGCUGAAUUCAAAAGCAAUUUGUCAUCUACAGCCAGCUUUUGACUGCUUCAUUAUGUCUUCCAAUGUAGUUAUUUCUAAGCAUUUACAUAUUGAAAUACAUAUUAUUUUACUAAAAAUUAUUUUCUUUUUUUAACAUUUAUUUUAUGCUUAAAGCAUCAUUUUGGCUUAAAAAUUAAUAGGUGUCUAUAGGUUAUAUUGUCUGUGAAUUUCAUUUAAGAAUAAAUAAAUGGAGCUUAAUAAAAUAUUUGUUGUAAAAGGUGGCAUUUGGCCCCAUGAGGUUGAGAAAUACUGGAC